GUGAACCUGCGGAAGGAUCAUUGU
RNAcentral lists this ribosomal RNA (24 nucleotides) under Corybas diemenicus. RNAcentral describes it as "partial 18S ribosomal RNA". The record is from RNAcentral. Lineage: Eukaryota; Viridiplantae; Streptophyta; Magnoliopsida; Asparagales; Orchidaceae. RNAcentral also lists the same sequence under 2 other names.